AUUGAACGCUGGCGGCAUGCUUUACACAUGCAAGUCGAACGGCAGCAUAGGUGCUUGCACCUGAUGGCGAGUGGCGAACGGGUGAGUAAUAUAUCGGAACAUGUCCGGAAGUGGGGGAUAACGUAGCGAAAGUUACGCUAAUACCGCAUAUGCCCUGAGGGGGAAAGGGGGGGAUCGCAAGACCUCUCGCUUUCGGAGUGGCCGAUAUCGUAUUAGCUAGUAGGUGAGGUAAAGGCUCACCUAGGCGACGAUCCGUAGCUGGUCUGAGAGGACGAGCAGCCACACUGGGACUGAGACACGGCCCAGACUCCUACGGGAGGCAGCAGUGGGGAAUUUUGGACAAUGGGCGCAAGCCUGAUCCAGCCAUGCCGCGUGAGUGAAGAAGGCCUUCGGGUUGUAAAGCUCUUUCAGCCGGAAAGAAAUCGUACUUAUUAAUACUAGGAGCUCAUGACGGUACUGUAAGAAUAAGCACCGGCUAACUACGUGCCAGCCGCCGCGGUAA
RNAcentral lists this ribosomal RNA (502 nucleotides) under uncultured bacterium. RNAcentral describes it as "partial 16S ribosomal RNA". It matches the Rfam family "Bacterial small subunit ribosomal RNA", at positions 30 to 523 of the family's 1533-position model. The record is from RNAcentral.